CGAUAUGGGAAGGUUGAGCUGUUGUUUAUCUGUUCCUAGAGAUGCUAGAAUUCUGGAGAAUUUUAUCUUUUAAAAUCUUUAAAAUGUUGCAUGAUGAGUUCCUGUAUGAUGAGAGUUUAAAUUCCUACCACAGCCAUAUAUACAUGCUUGCUAGACUUUGAGCCAUAUAUUUACUUUUUACUGCUUAUGAGAAUUGAGUGUGGUCAAGCUGUGUAGACCCUU
Molecule: long non-coding RNA, 222 nt
Filed under: Sorghum bicolor (sorghum)
Lineage: Eukaryota; Viridiplantae; Streptophyta; Magnoliopsida; Poales; Poaceae
Description: long non-coding RNA (SBIC_LNC010403)
Source: RNAcentral